This 1101-nucleotide ribosomal RNA is filed under the name Escherichia coli. RNAcentral describes it as "partial 23S ribosomal RNA". It matches the Rfam family "Bacterial large subunit ribosomal RNA", at positions 419 to 1524 of the family's 2925-position model. Lineage: Bacteria; Pseudomonadati; Pseudomonadota; Gammaproteobacteria; Enterobacterales; Enterobacteriaceae. The record is from RNAcentral.
GGGACACGUGGUAUCCUGUCUGAAUAUGGGGGGACCAUCCUCCAAGGCUAAAUACUCCUGACUGACCGAUAGUGAACCAGUACCGUGAGGGAAAGGCGAAAAGAACCCCGGCGAGGGGAGUGAAAAAGAACCUGAAACCGUGUACGUACAAGCAGUGGGAGCACGCUUAGGCGUGUGACUGCGUACCUUUUGUAUAAUGGGUCAGCGACUUAUAUUCUGUAGCAAGGUUAACCGAAUAGGGGAGCCGAAGGGAAACCGAGUCUUAACUGGGCGUUAAGUUGCAGGGUAUAGACCCGAAACCCGGUGAUCUAGCCAUGGGCAGGUUGAAGGUUGGGUAACACUAACUGGAGGACCGAACCGACUAAUGUUGAAAAAUUAGCGGAUGACUUGUGGCUGGGGGUGAAAGGCCAAUCAAACCGGGAGAUAGCUGGUUCUCCCCGAAAGCUAUUUAGGUAGCGCCUCGUGAAUUCAUCUCCGGGGGUAGAGCACUGUUUCGGCAAGGGGGUCAUCCCGACUUACCAACCCGAUGCAAACUGCGAAUACCGGAGAAUGUUAUCACGGGAGACACACGGCGGGUGCUAACGUCCGUCGUGAAGAGGGAAACAACCCAGACCGCCAGCUAAGGUCCCAAAGUCAUGGUUAAGUGGGAAACGAUGUGGGAAGGCCCAGACAGCCAGGAUGUUGGCUUAGAAGCAGCCAUCAUUUAAAGAAAGCGUAAUAGCUCACUGGUCGAGUCGGCCUGCGCGGAAGAUGUAACGGGGCUAAACCAUGCACCGAAGCUGCGGCAGCGACGCUUAUGCGUUGUUGGGUAGGGGAGCGUUCUGUAAGCCUGCGAAGGUGUGCUGUGAGGCAUGCUGGAGGUAUCAGAAGUGCGAAUGCUGACAUAAGUAACGAUAAAGCGGGUGAAAAGCCCGCUCGCCGGAAGACCAAGGGUUCCUGUCCAACGUUAAUCGGGGCAGGGUGAGUCGACCCCUAAGGCGAGGCCGAAAGGCGUAGUCGAUGGGAAACAGGUUAAUAUUCCUGUACUUGGUGUUACUGCGAAGGGGGGACGGAGAAGGCUAUGUUGGCCGGGCGACGGUUGUCCCGGUUUAAGCGUGUAGG